UGUGAGGCUUUCAUUCUGGUGAGCAAAGGUGAGGUUCGGGGAGAGAUCAACUCUAUACACACCAAAGUGCAGUAUUUUUGUUUCAGCAGCUCUACGAGAAUUAUGUACUGAACACAAGGAUACCCAAAGGGAAAGUGAAACAAUUCUACUGGGUAGCCUUUAUGUUCAGUGUAUGAACGCCAUGUGAACUGUCUAGAAGAAAAACCCCUGGAUACUUAAGUGGUACUUAUCCCUUAAGUUUGGGAAGAAACAUGUAGAAAGAUAGAGCCAGAAUGAACCUGUAAACUCAUCUUGCCAGUGUGCACGUGACGAAAACCAAUCUGGGUGGUGGCUGAGAUACUGCAACUAGGGCCGGAACGUCCUUGACCUGAAGCCUGCCCUCUGGAGACUAACUUCCAAGUUCUUUCCUCUGGAGGGUAUCCUUAGGUUUGGUUUAUGUAAGUAAAACAUCAACUC
This 456-nucleotide long non-coding RNA is filed under the name Vulpes vulpes (red fox). RNAcentral describes it as "lncRNA (ENSVVUG00000018542.1)". The record is from RNAcentral. Lineage: Eukaryota; Metazoa; Chordata; Mammalia; Carnivora; Canidae.